Molecule: transfer RNA, 75 nt
Filed under: Sphaerodactylus townsendi
Lineage: Eukaryota; Metazoa; Chordata; Lepidosauria; Squamata; Sphaerodactylidae
Description: tRNA-Ala
Source: RNAcentral
GGAAGGGCUGUGGCUCAGUGGUCGAGCAUCUGCCUGGCAAUUAGAAGGUCCCGGGUUCAAUUCCAAAGACCUCCA